RNAcentral lists this ribosomal RNA (93 nucleotides) under uncultured bacterium. Its description in RNAcentral is "partial 16S ribosomal RNA". The record is from RNAcentral.
CCUUGCACGCACGCCCGUCGCUCCAUCGAAGUUGGUUCUUGGCGAGGUGGUGCCUCAUUGGCACUAUCGAACCUGGGGUCAGCAACGAGGGAG